GCCUUCGUGGUGUAGUGGUCAGCACGCUCGAUGCGUAACUGAGAGGUCCGUGGUUCGAUUCCCGGCGAAGGCG
RNAcentral lists this transfer RNA (73 nucleotides) under Stegodyphus mimosarum. It matches the Rfam family "tRNA". From Rfam's summary of the family: Transfer RNA (tRNA) molecules are approximately 80 nucleotides in length. Their secondary structure includes four short double-helical elements and three loops (D, anti-codon, and T loops). The record is from Rfam by way of RNAcentral. Lineage: Eukaryota; Metazoa; Arthropoda; Arachnida; Araneae; Eresidae.